GGAGUUUGGACCGUCUCUCAGUUCCAAUGUGGCCGAUCACCCUCUCAGGUCGGCUACCGAUCGUCGACUUGGUGGGCCGUUACCUCACCAACUAUCUAAUCGGACGCGAACUCACCCCAAACCGGAUCGCUCCUUUUACCCCUGAGCCAUGCGACUCUGUGGUCUUAUGCGGUAUUAGCACUUGUUUCCAGGUGUUAUCCCCCUGUCUGGGACAGAUUGUUCACGCGUUACUCACCCGUCCGCCACUCGAAUCAGUCUCCCUUCCGCCGAAGCCUCCGUUCCUCUGAUCCUCGUUCGACUUGCAUGUGUUAAGCACGCCGCCAGCGUUCGUCCUCGAGCCAGGAGUCAAACUACU
This 355-nucleotide ribosomal RNA is filed under the name uncultured Eubacteriales bacterium. RNAcentral describes it as "uncultured Clostridiales bacterium partial 16S ribosomal RNA". The record is from RNAcentral. Lineage: Bacteria; Bacillati; Bacillota; Clostridia; Eubacteriales.